CCCUUAGAUGUUCUGGGCUGCACGCGCGCGACAAUGACGUUUGCAACGAGAUUGCGAGGCCGUCAGGUCGAGCUGAUCUUGCAAGCUGCGUCGUGAUAGGGACAGUCGAUUGCAAUUAUUCGACUCGAACGAGGAAUUCCUUGUAAUCGCGCAUCAUCAGUGCGCGCUGAAUACGUCCCUGCCCUUUGUACACACCACCCGUCGCUCCUACCGAUUGAGUGAUCCGGUGAAUGUUUUGGAUCGGCUUCAAGUUGGUUCGCGCCUCUUGCUUGCUGUGAAAUCAUGUAAACCUUAUUGCUUAGAGGAAGGAGAAGUCGUAACA
Molecule: ribosomal RNA, 322 nt
Filed under: uncultured eukaryote
Lineage: Eukaryota
Description: partial 18S ribosomal RNA
Rfam family: Eukaryotic small subunit ribosomal RNA
Source: RNAcentral